AGAGUAAAUAGGCAAGAUUUACAGCCAGAGUGCUUCACAGCAGACUAGACAUGUUAAAAACAUACACGUUCCAGGAUCUACCCAGCACAGCUGAAAAAUAUGACCUGGAAGAAAUCCUGAGAUGCAGGAAGUUGGAAUUUGUCCACCUGAUCUUUGCAGUCUCAUCUCCCUGUGAGAGUUAAGACACGAAGCGCCCCGCUUACAGCUGAGUAAAUGUUUGCCAAGUCGAAUUGAUCGAAAAAACUCCAACAGAGAAAAGCUGGCUCUCGCUUGCAUUCCAAAAGCCUUGCCAACUGGCCUGGAAACCAAAGUGUGUGGGAGACCCCUGAAAGAAGAUACCUGUUACCAAGUACAUGCCUCAGCUACUGCUGACACCUGGAAAACACCACAAAAACUAAAGCAAGUGUGUGAAUCCAGCUCCAACUGCCAGACACAUAAGGGAUACCAUCAAGGACCAGUCCCAGCCAAACAGGAAGACUUCUGCCUCGUAAGUACCCCCGAGAGAGACACUCAAAGACGUGUCUAUUGAACCCAUUGCAACCGCUGACCCCCAGGAUCCUUAGCAAAUAAAACAUAUGUUCUUUUUUUUUUUUUUGUAUUUAUUUUUUGACUGCAUUGGGUCCUUGUUGAGGCAUACAAGAUCCUUCACUGAGGCUCAAGGGCUAUCUAGGUGUGGCACUUAGGCUUAGUUGUCCCCAUAUGGGAUCUUGUUUCCCUGACCAGGGAUCAAAUCUGAGUCCCCUCCACUGGAAGGUGGAUUCUCAACC
Long non-coding RNA from Bos taurus (domestic cattle), 767 nucleotides. NCBI's taxonomy places the organism in Eukaryota, Metazoa, Chordata, Mammalia, Artiodactyla, Bovidae. The record is from Ensembl.